GUACACUCCUACGGGAGGCAGCAGUGGGGAAUUUUGGACAAUGGGCGAAAGCCUGAUCCAGCAAUGCCGCGUGAGUGAAGAAGGCCUUCGGGUUGUAAAGCUCUUUUGUCAGGGAAGAAACGGUGAGAGCUAAUAUCUUUUGCUAAUGACGGUACCUGAAGAAUAAGCACCGGCUAACUACGUGCCAGCAGCCGCGGUAAUACGUAGGGUGCAAGCGUUAAUCGGAAUUACUGGGCGUAAAGCGUGCGCAGGCGGUUUUGUAAGUCUGAUGUGAAAUCCCCGGGCUCAACCUGGGAAUUGCAUUGGAGACUGCAAGGCUAGAAUCUGGCAGAGGGGGGUAGAAUUCCACGUGUAGCAGUGAAAUGCGUAGAUAUGUGGAGGAACACCGAUGGCGAAAGCAGCCCCCUGGGUCAAGAUUGACGCUCAUGCACGAAAGCGUGGGGAGCAAACAGGAUUAGAAACCCGAGUAGUCCCAUGAU
This 479-nucleotide ribosomal RNA is filed under the name uncultured organism. RNAcentral's name for it is "partial 16S ribosomal RNA". It matches the Rfam family "Bacterial small subunit ribosomal RNA", at positions 331 to 801 of the family's 1533-position model. The record is from RNAcentral.